UGAUCAGCCAUGCCGCGUGAGUGAGAAGGCCUUCGGGUUGUAAAGCUCUUUCGUUGUGAUGAUAAUUUCAGAAUUAAUACCUGAUACACGGGAUAUUUCCAAGCCAACAACCGCGGCUAACUCCGGGCCAGCAGCCGCGGUAAUAAUUACUGGUGGUAGCGUUAAUCGAAAUUACUGGGCGUAAAGGGCACGCAAUCGGUCUGUUCAGCUAGAUGUGAAAGCCCCGAACUGCUAGUCUAAAGUUCAUUUAAAACUGGUGGACUUCCGUCUUGGAAAGGGAAAUGCAAUUCCAUGUGUAGGAACGAAAUGGGUAAAGAUCUGGAAGAGCAUCAAUACUGAAGGUGCUCCCUGGCCUGUGACUGACGCUCAUGUGCAAAUACCCUGGUAGUCCACACGAUUAAAUACCCUGGUAGUCCACACCGGUAUUAUAUGUCUACUAUCUGUUUGUGAAUUUAAUUCGUGAGUACCUGGCUAACGCGAUAAGUAGACCGCCUGGGGAGGAAUUGCCCGAGGUUAAAACU
RNAcentral lists this ribosomal RNA (521 nucleotides) under uncultured bacterium. RNAcentral's name for it is "bacterial SSU rRNA". It matches the Rfam family "Bacterial small subunit ribosomal RNA", at positions 384 to 901 of the family's 1533-position model. The record is from RNAcentral.